ACGGGAGGCAGCAGUGAGGAAUAUUGGUCAAUGGGCGGAAGCCUGAACCAGCCAUGCCGCGUGAGGGACGAAUGCCCUAUGGGUUGUAAACCUCUUUUGCCGCAGAGUAAUAAGGGUCCUGCGGGGCCCGAUGAGAGUAUGCGGCGAAUAAGCAUCGGCUAACUCCGUGCCAGCAGCCGCGGUAAUACGGAGGAUGCAAGCGUUAUCCGGAUUUAUUGGGUUUAAAGGGAGCGUAGGCGGCCUUUUAAGUCAGCGGUCAAAUGUCAGCGCCCAACGCUGGCCUGCCGUUGAUACUGAUGGGCUUGAAUACACACAAGGAAGGUGGAAUUCGUCGUGUAGCGGUGAAAUGCUUAGAUAUGACGAAGAACUCCGAUUGCGAAGGCAGCCUUCUGGAGUGCGAUUGACGCUGAGGCUCGAAAGCGCGGGUAUCAAACAGGAUUAGAUACCCUGGUA
RNAcentral lists this ribosomal RNA (453 nucleotides) under uncultured Prevotellaceae bacterium. RNAcentral describes it as "bacterial SSU rRNA". It matches the Rfam family "Bacterial small subunit ribosomal RNA", at positions 341 to 792 of the family's 1533-position model. The record is from RNAcentral. Lineage: Bacteria; Pseudomonadati; Bacteroidota; Bacteroidia; Bacteroidales; Prevotellaceae.